Molecule: ribosomal RNA, 459 nt
Filed under: uncultured bacterium
Lineage: Bacteria
Description: partial 16S ribosomal RNA
Rfam family: Bacterial small subunit ribosomal RNA
Source: RNAcentral
CCUACGGGAGGCAGCAGUGAGGAAUAUUGGUCAAUGGCCGAGAGGCUGAACCAGCCAAGUCGCGUGAGGGACGACGGCCCCACGCGUUGUAAACCUCUUUUGUCAGGGGACAAAGCGAGUCACGUGUGCCUCAUCGAGGGUACCCAAAGAAAAAGCAUCGGCUAACUCCGUGCCAGCAGCCGCGGUAAUACGGAGGAUGCGAGCGUUAUCCGGAUUUAUUGGGUUUAAAGGGUGCGCAGGCGGAGGGUCAAGUCAGCGGUAAAAUCCCGGGGCUCAACCCCGGACAGCCGUUGAAACUGCAUGUCUUGAGAGGGCGAGAGGUAUGCGGAAUGCGCGGUGUAGCGGUGAAAUGCAUAGAUAUCGCGCAGAACUCCGAUUGCGAAGGCAGCAUACCGGCGCGCAACUGACGCUCAUGCACGAAAGCGUGGGUAUCGAACAGGAUUAGAUACCCGUGUAGUC